This is a microRNA precursor of Oryctolagus cuniculus (rabbit), 76 nucleotides long. It matches the Rfam family "let-7 microRNA precursor family". Rfam says of the family: This family represents the microRNAs (miRNA) let-7 and mir-98. let-7 was identified from a study of developmental timing in C. elegans, and was later shown to be part of a much larger class of non-coding RNAs termed miRNAs. The extents of the hairpin precursors are not generally known and are estimated based on hairpin prediction. The products are thought to have regulatory roles through complementarity to mRNA. Lineage: Eukaryota; Metazoa; Chordata; Mammalia; Lagomorpha; Leporidae. The record is from Rfam.
CCAGGUUGAGGUAGUAGGUUGUAUAGUUUAGAAUUACAUCAAGGGAGAUAACUGUACAACCUCCUAGCUUUCCUUG